UUGAAAGGGAAACGAUUGAAGUCAGUCAUACCAACGGGAAAUCAACCUUUUGAGCUUAGUUUCGUGGGUUUUGAAGAGUUUCAAAGCCUUCGGAUUCGCGAGAUUGGGAUCUCUUGGUGUACUUUUUCGUACGGUUAGUCAACAUCGGUUUUGAAUGUCAUAAAAUGACUGGAGGAAUGUAGCUUCGAUCUCGUAUUGAAGUGUUAUAGCCUUUGGUAGAUGUGGUGAUUGGGACUGAGGAUUGCAACGAAUACCCUUUGGGCUAUCCGUCUGGCCUCUGAAAGUUGCUCAGUUGCCGAAAGCGUGCUUACGGUCAUCUAAGAUAACGUUCAACAGGUUAGAACGUGAUUACAUUCGUUAAGGAUGUUGACGUA
Molecule: ribosomal RNA, 374 nt
Filed under: uncultured Glomus
Lineage: Eukaryota; Fungi; Glomeromycota; Glomeromycetes; Glomerales; Glomeraceae
Description: LSU rRNA
Source: RNAcentral